Molecule: long non-coding RNA, 798 nt
Organism: Sceloporus undulatus (fence lizard)
Lineage: Eukaryota; Metazoa; Chordata; Lepidosauria; Squamata; Phrynosomatidae
Exons: 2
Source: RefSeq, a predicted model, not a curated record
UUAUUGUUACAGUUCCAUUCAAAACUUGAGAGGAGGCUGCCUGCCUAUAACACCAGGGUCAAACUGCCCAUGGGUCAGAAAGCAGACAUUUAUUAUGAUGAGGAGGACAGUGGAGAGGAUGAUGCAGACGUGGUGACACGCACAGCCCUGAAGCGUCAAUCCCAGCAAAUCAUAGAGGCCAAGACCAAACGCCGCAACCGCUACAGAAAGAAGGAUGGGAAGUAGUGACUGUGUCCUGUGUAGUCCUCCUUCCCAGCUCCUGAUGCAGACCAAAGUUCUUGGUUAUUAAAGAUGCCUCCUAGGCACUGGUCUCCUGUAUGAGCCAGUUCCACCUUUCAUUUCCACCACUUCCAGGCCCCAGGAAAGAAAGGAAUAUGACUCCUUGUGGAUCUGUUCCCCAUCCCUGGAUGGACCAGGUCUGGACCCAUAGUGACCUGCAGUGGGUGUUUCUCUCCUUCUCUCCUGCCUUUGAGUUCCCAGCAAUGUGAGAAGCAUGGCUUCUUCAAUGCUGGUACAUGAGGAGUGACCCUGACACAAGGAGAGAAAGAAGAGAGAUCCUCCAAGUGAAACCAGCCCCUUGCCAUUCCAAGACUAAAACAUGAGCAAAACAAAAACAAAACCCUUCCACACCCUUUGACUAAUCUACACUACCACCUACAACCACAAUUGACCUCUUGGCCUUUGCACACUUAGGGAGAGGUGGACUGGAGGUCUCAAAGGCAGUCACACUCAGGGUGGAGUAGGGCGGCUGAAUGCAUUGUUUGCUGUAUUUCAUGCAAUAAACCUUGUUCAGAUUGA